This 67-nucleotide transfer RNA is filed under the name Mytilus trossulus (common blue mussel). Its description in RNAcentral is "tRNA-Ile". Lineage: Eukaryota; Metazoa; Mollusca; Bivalvia; Mytilida; Mytilidae. The record is from RNAcentral.
AGUGUCACGUGGGGGACGAUCCAGUUGCUUUGAUGAAGCAGAGCUCAAAAUUAGAUUUUUGGCACUU